AUUGAACGCUGGCGGCAGGCCUAACACAUGCAAGUCGAACGAGUGGCGGACGGGUGAGUAAUGUCUGGGAAACUGCCUGAUGGAGGGGGAUAACUACUGGAAACGGUAGCUAAUACCGCAUACCAUCAGAUGUGCCCAGAUGGGAUUAGCUGGUUGGUGGGGUAACGGCUCACCAAGGCGACGAUCCCUAGCUGGUCUGAGAGGAUGACCGGCCAACCUGGAACGGGAAACCGGUCCAGACUCCUAGGGGGGGCGGCGGUGGGGAAUAUUGCACAAUGGGGGCAAGCCUGAUGAACCCAUGCGGCGUGUAGGAAGAAGGCCUUCGGGUUGUAAAGUACUUUCAGCGGGGAGGCGUUACCCGCAGAGGAAGCACCGGCUAACUCCGUGCCAGCCGCCGCGGUAAUAC
RNAcentral lists this ribosomal RNA (406 nucleotides) under uncultured bacterium. RNAcentral's name for it is "partial 16S ribosomal RNA". It matches the Rfam family "Bacterial small subunit ribosomal RNA", at positions 29 to 526 of the family's 1533-position model. The record is from RNAcentral.